Molecule: transfer RNA, 77 nt
Filed under: Burkholderiales bacterium
Lineage: Bacteria; Pseudomonadati; Pseudomonadota; Betaproteobacteria; Burkholderiales
Also listed under: 4 other names
Description: tRNA-Pro
Rfam family: tRNA
About the family: Transfer RNA (tRNA) molecules are approximately 80 nucleotides in length. Their secondary structure includes four short double-helical elements and three loops (D, anti-codon, and T loops).
Source: RNAcentral
CGGAGCGUGGCGCAGUCUGGUAGCGCACUUGCAUGGGGUGCAAGGGGUCCCGGGUUCAAAUCCCGGCGCUCCGACCA